UCAGAGAUAAAGAUUUAAACUUUGAAUUUAAGGAAGGUAAUUAACUUUGCCUCUCUGAG
Molecule: transfer RNA, 59 nt
Filed under: Strongylocotes lipogonus
Lineage: Eukaryota; Metazoa; Arthropoda; Insecta; Psocodea; Heptapsogasteridae
Description: tRNA-Gln
Source: RNAcentral